AAAAAGAUAAGCUAAUUAAGCUAAUGGGUUCAUACCCCUUUUAUAAAGGUCCUAAUCCUUUUCUUUUUA
RNAcentral lists this transfer RNA (69 nucleotides) under Ochthebius lividipennis. RNAcentral describes it as "tRNA-Met". It matches the Rfam family "tRNA". From Rfam's summary of the family: Transfer RNA (tRNA) molecules are approximately 80 nucleotides in length. The record is from RNAcentral. Lineage: Eukaryota; Metazoa; Arthropoda; Insecta; Coleoptera; Hydraenidae.